GGGUCAGUAGGUUGGUCGUGCCACCGGUACGUACUGGUCUCACUGAUUCCUCCUUCCUGAAGAACCGUAAUGCCAUUAAUUUGGUGUUGCGGGGAAACAGGACUGUUACUUUGAAAAAAUUAGAGUGUUUAAAGCAAGCUAACGCUUGAAUACAUUAACAUGGAAUAAUGGAAUAGGACGAUCGAUCCUAUUUUGUUGGUUUCUAGGAUUGACGUA
Molecule: ribosomal RNA, 216 nt
Filed under: Glomeromycotina sp.
Lineage: Eukaryota; Fungi; Glomeromycota
Description: partial small subunit ribosomal RNA
Rfam family: Eukaryotic small subunit ribosomal RNA (bases 40-216)
Source: RNAcentral